CCCAUAGCGGGAGGCUCUGACGCGCGGCCCACACGGCCGCCCGGACCGCGCCGAGCCACUGGCGGGACCGACCCGCGACGCG
RNAcentral lists this non-coding RNA (82 nucleotides) under unclassified sequences. RNAcentral describes it as "c-di-GMP sequence". It matches the Rfam family "c-di-GMP-II-GAG riboswitch aptamer". The record is from Rfam by way of RNAcentral.